Molecule: long non-coding RNA, 522 nt
Filed under: Homo sapiens (human)
Lineage: Eukaryota; Metazoa; Chordata; Mammalia; Primates; Hominidae
Description: LNC_000033
Source: RNAcentral
GUCCUCUGAGAAUUUAUUACUACGGAUCACAGCAGCAACGGGCGGGAAGGGCGGCGCCAGACUCAUUUGCCCCGCAGGUAGAUCUUGGGGGUCUGCCAGCCUUCGGGGGCUUCCUUUAGCCCCGCCUUCAGCCAGAUGCGCCUCAGGUCUUUCUCGAACUUGAUCUGCUUGCGUCUCAGGCGUCCCUCCUGGACCUUCCUCCGCAGGAACCGCGUCUUCUUCACCAGCUUCCGGUACUUGUGGUGGUUCAUCUUCCGCCGGCGGAUCUUCAGCACGUUUUUGCACUGAAUUUGAGGCGCAUCCGCGACGCCUUCAUCCCCCUGCUCGGCCCCUUCCCCUAUCUGGCUGGGCGGACACUGGUAGGAUUGCGGUGGAGCCACAGUCCCUGCGGUCCCGGUAUCCAGUCUGGGCAGGAAGCAGCGGGCCGUGAGCCAGCUCUCCAGGGGGCUGACGGACAUCUUCCUGGGGACCAGCAUCUCCUCCAGCUCCAGCUGGGCCCCCUUGCGAGGGAGAGAGGCCGCC